CCUACGGGUGGCAGCAGUCGGGAAUAUUGCGCAAUGGAGGAAACUCUGACGCAGUGACGCCGCGUGCAGGAAGAAGGCUUUCGGGUUGUAAACUUCUUUAGACAGGGAAGAAAAAAGUCACUAUCUGUAGAAUAUGCUCCGCCUAACUACGCGCCAGCAGCCGCGGUAAUACGUAGGGGGCAAGCGUUAUCUGGAUUUAUUGGGUGUAUAGGGUGCGUAGACGGAGAAGCACGUGAGAUGUGAAAACCCUCGGCUUAACCGCGGGACUGCAACUGAAACUGCUUGCCUUGAGUGCUGGAGAGGAAAGUGGAAUUCCGGGUGUAGCGGUGAAAUGCGUAGAUAUUAGGAGGAACACCAGUGGCGAAGGCGGAUUUCUGGACAGUAACUGACGUUGAGGCGCGAAAGUGUGGGGAGCAAACAGGAUUAGAUACCCGGGUAGUC
This 441-nucleotide ribosomal RNA is filed under the name uncultured bacterium. RNAcentral describes it as "partial 16S ribosomal RNA". It matches the Rfam family "Bacterial small subunit ribosomal RNA", at positions 338 to 795 of the family's 1533-position model. The record is from RNAcentral.